RNA transcript from Cygnus atratus (black swan), 3521 nucleotides. It is a transcript of the gene named alpha tocopherol transfer protein, with no coding region annotated. NCBI's taxonomy places the organism in Eukaryota, Metazoa, Chordata, Aves, Anseriformes, Anatidae. The transcript is spliced from 5 exons. The record is from RefSeq and is a predicted model, not a curated record.
CGCCGCCCCGCGCCUCGCCAUGGGUCCGGCCGUGCGGCGGGGCUGAGCGGCGUCCCCCGGCCAUGUCGCAGCGGGGGGACGGCGACCUCCCCGAGCACUCGCCGCAGGCCCAAGGCGCCGUGGCCGAGCUGCGGCGGCGGGCGGACGCAGAGCCCGGGCAGCGCUGGCCCCAGCCCCUCAGCGACGCCUUCCUGCUGAGGUUCCUGCGAGCCCGGGACUUCAACGUGGACCUGGCCUGGAGGUUACUGAAGAAUUACCAGAAGUGGAGAAUUGAAUGCCCAGAAAUAAGUGCAGAUUUACAACCAUCUUCCAUUCUUGGUCUUUUGCAUGCUGGCUAUCACGGAGUCCUGAGAUCAAGAGACCCAUAUGGAAGCAAAGUUCUAAUAUACAGAAAUUGGACAAUGGGAUCCCAAGUUAUUUACAGCAUAUGAUGUGUUUCGUGUAAGUUUGAUCACAUCUGAACUCAUUGUAAAGGAGAUUGAAACUCAGAAGAAUGGAGUCAAGGCUAUCUUUGAUCUUCAAGGGUGGCGAUUUGCUCAUGCAUUUCAAAUCAGUCCAGCAGUGGCCAAGAAAAUUGCUGCUGUGCUCACAGAUUCCUUUCCACUAAAAGUUCGAGGUAUCCACUUGAUUAAUGAGCCUUUAUUCUUCCACCCAGUCUUCGCUCUAAUUAAGCCUUUUCUCACUGAAAAAAUAAAGCAACGGGUGUAUAUGCAUGGAAAUAACUACAUGCAGAGUCUGACUGAACACUUUCCAGUCAGCAUUCUCCCACAGGAAUAUGGAGGGGAAGGAGUCUCCUUCGAAGAGCUGGCCAAGGAAUGGACUGACUUCAUAAUGUCGUCUGCAGAUUAUCUCCAGAGCAUUUCCCUGGUUGCUCAUAAAUAACCUUAUGGCAGUAUUACAGCAGUUCAUGAAGACUGGAAGUGGAAAUAAGUUUAAUAUGAAAUAUUUCAUGUAAACUUGAAGUUACUGUAAAUGAAAUCAGUAUGUCUUUGCAGGGCACUGAGGGUUACACUGACUGCACUUUUAUACUAACUGGAGUGUAUCAGUAUGUACAUCUGAGGAGACUAAUGAAUUCUACAUGUUUGCAAUACUGUUUGUAACUGAUUAAGUUGUAUGUUUGUAGUUGUGCAUUGGAUAGCAUAUUAUGGAUACUGCUCCUGUUAAGUCAUUGGAGAAAACUCCUCUGUAAUAACGCAGUCCAGAACCUUACGCUUAGCUCUUUUAUCUUGGCUUGUCAAGAUGAUAAGAUACAAAGCCAAAUAAUUUAAGUAGAACAGAAUAUGAAUGGGGUAGACUAGUUGCAGAAGUAUGAAUACAGGCCUAAUUUACAACUGGGGGAAAGAGGCUGCUUUUUGGAUUGAUUCUCAGGGAAAUGGUUGUUUUGUUAGUUUGCACUGCUAAGAUUGCAUAGUCAAAUUGAGAAUUAGUCAGCAAUAGUGAAACAUUUGUUAUCUCUGUGCUGCUUGUGCAGCUUCCCAUUUUGUGCUAAUUAACACAGUAAUCCGCUAGUUUCAUAGAGGAAGAUGAGAAAAAGACCAUGUACAUGUUCUUCAGAGGACACCAUGAACCAAGAGGAACUGUUAAGAGAGUCAAAAGAACUUUGAAAAUUCUGAUUUUCUUUCUUCAGAGAUACUGUCUGUGAACAAGUUAUAAGCAACCCAGUAAUGCGAACACUUAUUUCCUGCUGUAGAGUGUUAGAGGUCAAGAGCUCUUAGCUGUUUGCAGUAUCACUUUGUUUUGAAGGGUGAAGUAAAUUGUCCUUCAUAGAUCUGAGCUUUAGAAAUAUCCGUUCUGUGGUUUAAGGAUGCUUGUACGUCACUUUGAGCCUCAGCUUAGGAAUUGCUGGCUAUCUUCCUUCUUAUCUUCAGGAAAGUAAUUGGCAACUUGCCAACUUAUGUCAUGUUGGGCACUGGAUGAUUUAACUUUCUGUUGAGUCUUAUGUAAUGAAAAAAUCUGUAGUUAUGGAAAAUAGAUUUUUCUAAGGGACAUGAUUCAUAUAUGAAUACUGUAUGUGUAUAAGUUGUCACAUAUAUUACAUAGCAGUAACAUCCUACAUUCCCCAGUAUUUAAUAAUCUGAAAUGUUAAUUUACUUUUGACUGUUUUUUGUUAAAAUUCCUGAAAUACAUCAACUGCUGGAGUUCAUUUACACAAUUUUUAUCCCUCUUUUGUAACAAGUCAGGGGUCUUUACAUAAAUAUUAGAUACUUAAGCAUUCCAUGUGAAUGUUCAUAUAAAUGAUCAAUAAUGCUUUACUUCUCAGGUAGCUGGAACUGCUAACUUCAGUUAUUUUGAAAUCAUUAGAACAUUGGGAUGCUGUAUUAAUAUGUGUUUAGGGGAGAGAAAUAACAAAAUCUUAUUAAGUCAGAAAUGUCUUAUUUUACUUUAUCAUUGAUACUCUGUUAUUGCAAAAGCCAGUGGCAGCUUCUCUUUAUUAGCAUGAGGAACACCUAUGAAAGUCCUAUACCAUACUUGGUGUUAGUUUCCUCUGAUAUGGUAAGAUAAAUGGUACAAAAUUCCUUAAAAACUGACAAAGAUAUUCUAUUUUUCAAUCCUUUCAUUGCCUCAAGUGCAUUUUCAUUCUUGUCUUUCAGGAUAUCUUUGAAGCAGAGCCUAAAGCUAAAGAAAUUAUUUUCCUGAUGCAUUUUCAUAUAUGCACAUAUUUCAUAUCCUUCUUUUUCUCUGAUUGAACUAUUUUGUGAUAUGAAAAAAGGUCCUUACAUUGAUGAGUUCAUUGAAAUGAUUAUUAUUCUUUAUUAGAAAAUAAACUAAGUAGCCAGACAUCUGGCAAUUCUUCAAGAGUUUAACUCAAGUUCCAAAUCCUGUAUGAACUCGAGAAAUGAAAAUAUUGUCCUAAAGUUUUGCUCCUUCAGUUUUAGUCCUUGAAUGUGAACUGCAUAAAGAAAUUGGCCAUGUUUCAGUGAACAGGAAAACUCAGUCUUUUCCUAUGAAACCAAUCCCUGAUUGUUGCGGUUUUAUCUGAUUCUUGUCUCUUUUAGAUUACUUCCGUUAUUGCAUUUGUAUAUGUACAUGGACAAAAUUUAUGGAUUUUAUCUUCAUUUGAAGUACACCAUCUCAAUGAAGUCCAAAGUGUCUUCAAAAAUAUCCUGGAUCUAUUAUUAAAUGGUAACAUGAAUAUAUAACACAAUGGAGCACUGAAUAGUUAUUUUUUUCAUGAACUGUUAAUUAUUUUUAAUGUUUACAUGUUCAGUAGGAAGUCUGUACACAGAACAUUGAAUUUGCUGCUAUUAACGAUGAUUAAAUAAUCAGAAAAUUUGCAUAACAUAUGGCAAAGGUGGUAGUGUAGUGGGUGGAGGUAGAGCACCCGUGAGCUUUAGAGUAAAUAAAAUCGUAAGUGCCUUAUUCUUCUCUAGUAAGGCCAGAAGUGCCUUUAAAGAAAACAAACGUGCUGUGAAAUGCUGAUGCAAGUACUGACAAGCGUGAUGUAAUGCAAAAUGUUUUUUAAUUCUUUUUUUACAUGUUAACACCAUUAUUAUCAAUAAACCUCUUCUACCUGAACCGGC